UAUAGAGUUCAAGUAAAGUGGACUUGGGGCAACGCCAGGAAAGCCUGUGGUUAGUUUUUUCUUUCAUGUGACCCUCUGCCCAAAUGACGAGUCUGGGAGUGCUGGGAUCCAGGAAAGGGCAAGCGAGCACUUUCAGAUCUCUCACAGAAGCUUCCAUCAUCUGUUCGAGUUUGGAUGUUGACAGAGAAAGGCUGCACUGAAACGAGGCUGUCAGAGCAGGAGCAUCAGCCUUUGUCAGGCUGGCAACAAAUACCACUUCCGGAUCUGUGAUCAUGGCCUUUAAAGUCAUAUUUGGUCUAACAGAGUCAUCUGAAGAAACAAGCAACAGGAACCAGAAAAGUUUAAGCAACAUGGAUGGAACUGGAGGCCAUUAUCUUAAGUGAAACAACCCAGAAGCAGAAAAACAAACUGCACGUUCUCACUUAUAAGUGGCAGCUAAAUAAUGAAUACACGUGGUCAGUGUGUGGAAUAAUACACAUUGGAGACUUGAA
Gorilla gorilla gorilla (western lowland gorilla) is the source of this 491-nucleotide long non-coding RNA. RefSeq lists it as uncharacterized. Lineage: Eukaryota; Metazoa; Chordata; Mammalia; Primates; Hominidae. The record is from RefSeq and is a predicted model, not a curated record. The transcript is spliced from 3 exons.